RNAcentral lists this ribosomal RNA (253 nucleotides) under uncultured bacterium. RNAcentral's name for it is "partial 16S ribosomal RNA". It matches the Rfam family "Bacterial small subunit ribosomal RNA", at positions 524 to 776 of the family's 1533-position model. The record is from RNAcentral.
UACAGAGGGGGCAAGCGUUGUUCGGAAUUACUGGGCGUAAAGGGCGCGUAGGCGGCCCGCUAAGUCGAACGUGAAAUCCCCAGGCUUAACCUGGGAACUGCGUCCGAUACUGGCAGGCUUGGAUCCGGGAGAGGGAUGUGGAAUUCCAGAUGUAGCGGUGAAAUGCGUAGAUAUCUGGAGGAACACCGGUGGCGAAGGCGGCAUCCUGGACCGGCAUUGACGCUGAGGCGCGAAAGCUAGGGGAGCAAACGGG